CAAAGAAUAGUUUAUUUAAAAUAUUAAUUUUGGAGAUUAAUGAUAGGGGUGUUCCUUUCUUUGA
Molecule: transfer RNA, 64 nt
Filed under: Episymploce sp.
Lineage: Eukaryota; Metazoa; Arthropoda; Insecta; Blattodea; Blattellidae
Description: tRNA-Pro
Source: RNAcentral